CCAACAGUUCCUGACCAUUCAAACACCCCAACAUUUGCUACUGUUGUUCUGCGCAUACAUAAUGAAAGAUGGGAAGGCGUUCCUUUUAUAUUAAAGGCAGGGAAAGCAUUAAACUCAAGAAAGGCAGAGAUACGUGUUCAAUUUAAGGAUGUUCCUGGUGAUAUAUUCAAGUGUAAAAAGCAAGGAAGAAAUGAGUUUGUAAUACGCCUGCAACCCUCAGAAGCUAUCUACAUGAAACUUACGGUCAAGCAGCCUGGAUUGGAGAUGUCAACUGCUCAAAGUGAACUGGACUUGUC
RNAcentral lists this unclassified non-coding RNA (296 nucleotides) under Hevea brasiliensis (rubber tree). The record is from RNAcentral. Lineage: Eukaryota; Viridiplantae; Streptophyta; Magnoliopsida; Malpighiales; Euphorbiaceae.